Molecule: long non-coding RNA, 1111 nt
Filed under: Oryza brachyantha (malo sina)
Lineage: Eukaryota; Viridiplantae; Streptophyta; Magnoliopsida; Poales; Poaceae
Description: long non-coding RNA (OBRA_LNC000066)
Source: RNAcentral
GUGCAACUAAAAUCACUGGAGAUCUCCAUCGGCCCAUCGCCCAUCGUUAGAAAAAGAAAAAAGAAAAAACUCAACUCGCUCAUGGCGGUGGUCUGCAACUCCGUGGCCGCCGCCGUCGCGCCAUAGAUCAGGACGAGGAGGGCGCGGGCGAGGCGAUGGGCCAUCCAGGCGGAAGAAGAGGAUGGCAGCGGCAGAGGGGAAGGAGAGAAGGCCCGGACGGCGGCGUACGGAGGAGAGAACGUGGGUCCAUCGCGCCGACGAGGAGGAGAAGCAACGACGCCGCGGCGGGCGCGAGGUGACCGGCGAGGCGAGGCGGCGGCGCGGCGGUGGUCACUGAUCGGGCGAGCAAGACGAGAGAGACUGCUUGGGACCUCUGAUUAAUGGUAUUUUUUUUUCCUUUCAUUUUCAUCCCAACUAUUUUUUUUUCUUAUCAUAUAUGCUCCAUUAUUACAUAAAAGUAUUUAUAAGAAUAAUCUUGGAUUCUAAGUUCUAAUUUGUAUUUCAAGGAAUUAUGAAGUUUUAGCAUUUCAAGUUGGAUCAUUACCAUAUCUACUAAAUUUCGUAAUUUACAUGUAGGCAUACAGAGGAGCUUAACCAGGUUUACUGCCCAUUACUAAUUAUUUUUCUUCCAACUUGAGGUAUAAUCCUGCACCGGACAAGUAUAGGUAGCUAAAUGCCACGAACAAGACUUAUUAGCGAUGCAUCAACCAUAUGACCUAGAUUACCUACUCAUUUACAUGUAGUAUGUAUCACAAAAAUAAAUGUUUAUGAGUGAUGAUCGUGUCUUCUUCCUUCAUGCUACCAAUUGUGUAGCUAAGAGGCGCAAACUCUGUUAUGUAAAACAACAAUUUCUAGCUUCUCACUUGGGGGGUUCAAACUUGCAAAUUGCAAGCUGAUAAGCCAUUCGUGGGCAUCAUGUUAGAUUGUUUUACACAAAUUAAGUUAUUGUAUCAUAAUAAGAGCCCGUUUGGUACAGCUCCAGCUUCCAACUUCAAUUUACCUGGAGCCGGAGUUGUGCCAAACGGUACAGAUUCUACUUUUUUUUACGGAGCUGCUCCUAAAAAAUAAACUACAAUGGUCGAGCUGGGUUUUUGCUGCUCCACAGCUUCAC